UCUAUUUAUUGAUGAGGCUCAUAUUCUCUUAGUAUUAAUCAGUACAAUUGACUUCCAAUCACUUAGUUCUGGAGCUACCCAGAAGAGAAUAAUAAACCUUAUAGUAACUCUCUUCGUGAACUCUUUCAUUGCCCUACUAUUAAUCUCCGUAGCAUUUUGGUUACCUCAGCUAAACGUAUAUGCUGAAAAAGCAAGCCCCUACGAAUGUGGCUUCGAUCCCAUAGGAUCUGCUCGCCUACCAUUUUCAAUAAAAUUUUUCCUUGUUGCAAUUACAUUUCUUCUAUUUGAUCUAGAAAUUGCUCUUCUUCUCCCUCUUCCCUGAGCUUCCCAAACAAACAAUCUUAACCUUAUGCUAACUAUAGCUUUGCUCUUAAUCCUAAUUCUUAUCCUCGGGCUAGCCUAUGAAUGAGUCCAAAAAGGCUUAGAAUGAAUUGAAUAUGGUAAUUAGUUUAAAUUAAAACAAGUGAUUUCGACUCACUAAAUUAUGGACUGCCAUAAUUAUCAAAAUGCCUAUUAUUACUCUCAACAUUAUAUUAGCCUACUCUACAUCCCUUCUAGGGAUAUUCAUUUAUCGAUCCCAUUUAAUAUCAUCACUUUUAUGUUUAGAGGGUAUAAUGCUAUCAAUAUUUAUUCUAUGCUCUCUCCUAAUUAUAAACUUACACUUUUCACUAUCAUUUAUGAUUCCCAUUAUCUUAUUAGUGUUUGCCGCAUGUGAAGCAGCUGUAGGCUUGGCCCUUCUGGUAAUAGUAUCUAAUACAUACGGCCUAGACUACGUCCAAAACUUAAAUAUCCUUCAAUGCUAAAAAUUAUUAUUCCUACAAUCCUACUCGCUCCCCUUAUAUGAUUCUCAAAACCCUCUAUAAUUUGAAUUAAUCCUUCUAUUCAUAGUUUAAUUAUUAGCCUAAUUGUUCUCCUUACAUUAAAUCGCCCCACAAAUACAGAUUUAAUUUUUUCAUUAGUCUUCUUCACAGACCCUUUAUCUUCUCCUUUAUUAGUCCUGACAGCAUGACUUCUACCCCUCAUAAUUAUGGCUAGCCAAAGUCACUUAACUCAAGAACCACUAAUCCGAAAGAAACUCUAUAUUCUCAUAUUAAUCUCACUACAAUCUUUUCUAAUUAUAACUUUCUCCGUUACUGAACUAAUCAUAUUCUAUAUCCUUUUUGAGGCCACCCUAAUCCCUACACUCAUUAUUAUCACUCGAUGAGGAAACCAAACUGAACGAUUAAAUGCAGGAUUAUAUUUCCUAUUUUACACCCUAGUGGGCUCUCUACCCUUAUUAGUAGCAUUAAUUUACAUUCAAAAAUCUACUGGAUCUUUAAACUUUAUUAUUUCAACAUACCAAUCAUCUACCCUUUCCAUAUCUUGAACAAAUCAUAUUCUAUGACUAGCAUGCAUUAUAGCUUUUAUAGUUAAAAUACCUCUAUACGGUCUCCAUCUUUGACUACCAAAAGCCCAUGUCGAAGCUCCCAUCGCUGGUUCUAUAGUUUUAGCCGCUAUUCUACUAAAGCUUGGUGGAUAUGGAAUGAUCCGAAUUUCAGCUCUUCUUCAUCCUAUCACAAGUAACAUAGCCUAUCCUUUUAUUAUAUUAUCUUUAUGAGGUAUAAUUAUAACAAGUUCAAUCUGCUUACGACAAACAGACCUAAAAUCCCUCAUCGCCUACUCAUCAGUAAGUCAUAUAGCACUAGUAAUUGUAGCAAUUAUAAUUCAAACCCCCUGAAGCUUUAUAGGAGCCACAGCAUUAAUAAUCGCUCACGGAUUGACAUCCUCUAUACUUUUUUGUCUAGCAAACACUAACUAUGAACGAAUUCAUAGUCGAACUAUAACAUUAGCUCGAGGCUUACAAUCUAUUCUCCCCCUUAUAGCAACAUGAUGAGUUCUAGCAACCCUAACCAAUCUAGCCCUCCCACCCUCCAUUAACUUAAUUGGUGAACUAUUUAUUAUUAUAGCAUCAUUUACUUGAUCAAACAUUUCAAUUAUCUUAACUGGGCUAAAUAUAUUAAUCACAGCUCUCUACUCGCUAUAUAUACUAAUUACAACACAACAAGGAAAAUUUACAUAUCACACACUAAAUAUUAGCCCCUCCUUCACACGAGAAAAUACACUUAUAUUUCUUCACCUUUUUCCACUUAUCAUCCUAUCAACGAACCCUACCAUCAUUCUGGGACAUUUGUACUGUAAAUAUAGUUUAAGCAAAACUUUAGAUUGUGAAUCUAACAAUAGAGAAUCGUAAUCUCUUAUUUACCAAGAAAGCAUGCAAGAACUGCUAACUCAUGCUACCGUGACUAAACCCACGGCUUUCUUAACUUCUAUAGGAUAGAAGCAAUCCGUUGGUCUUAGGAAUCAAAAAAUUGGUGCAACUCCAAAUAGAAGUAAUUAAUAUAUUCUCUUCACUUAUUCUCACAUCACUUAUAACCCUAUCAUUUCCCAUUUUUCUAACAAUAACUAAUCACCAUAAGCACAUUAACUUCCCAAACUACGUUAAAAUCUCCAUUAUUUGUGCAUUAUCACUCUGCAUCGUACCAACACUAAUAUUUACUAACUCAAAUUAUGAACUCAUUAUCUCAAACUGACACUGAAUAACUAUUCAAACAUUCACCUUUUCCAUAAGCUUUAAAUUAGAUUACUUUUCCAUAUUAUUUAUACCUGUAGCACUAUUCGUUACAUGAUCAAUUAUAGAAUUCUCAAUAUGAUAUAUACACUCCGAUCCCUUCAUUAACCGUUUCUUUAAAUAUCUCCUUUUAUUCCUUAUCACUAUAAUAAUUCUAGUUACAGCUAAUAACCUAUUUCAACUAUUUAUUGGCUGAGAAGGAGUAGGUAUUAUAUCUUUCUUACUAAUUGGCUGAUGAUACAGCCGAACAGAUGCUAAUACAGCAGCCCUCCAAGCCAUUUUAUAUAACCGAAUUGGAGAUAUUGGAUUUGUUCUAGCUAUAGCAUGAUUCCUACUUAACUCAAACUCAUGAGAACUACAACAACUUUUCAUUAUAGAUGUCUCUCUAUUCCCCCUUCUAGGACUACUCUUGGCCGCCACAGGAAAAUCUGCCCAAUUUGGUCUUCACCCUUGAUUACCUUCCGCCAUAGAAGGUCCGACUCCUGUUUCAGCUUUACUUCACUCCAGCACAAUAGUAGUGGCAGGAGUCUUCCUCCUUAUUCGCUUCUACCCGUUAAUAGAACAUAAUAAAACCAUCCAAACACUUACUCUUUGUUUAGGAGCUAUUACCACCCUAUUCACCGCUAUCUGUGCUCUAACCCAAAAUGACAUUAAAAAAAUUAUCGCAUUCUCUACUUCAAGUCAAUUAGGAUUAAUAAUAGUAACUAUUGGAAUUAAUCAACCUCAUCUAGCAUUUCUUCAUAUUUGCACACACGCAUUCUUCAAAGCUAUACUAUUCAUAUGCUCAGGAUCAAUUAUUCACAACCUAAAUGACGAACAAGACAUUCGAAAAAUAGGAGGCUUAUUUAAAGCCCUCCCAUUCACUUCAUCUUCACUUAUUAUUGGUAGCCUAGCAUUAACAGGAACUCCCUUUCUAACAGGAUUUUAUUCUAAAGACCUAGUCAUUGAAUCUGCUAAUACGUUGAAUACCAACGCCUGAGCCCUAAUUAUUACUCUCCUUGCCACUUCCCUAACCGCUGUCUACAGUACACGAAUUAUCUUCUAUGUUCUAAUAGGACAACCUCGAUUUUCUACACUAACUCCAAUCAAUGAAAAUAACCCUCAACUACUUAAUUCAAUUAAACGCCUUCUUAUUGGCAGUAUUAUCGCAGGAUUUAUCCUUUCAUAUAAUAUCCCACCCAUAAAUACCCCAGUACUAACCAUACCUAUUUAUCUAAAACUUAUAGCAUUAUUAGUAACCAUCCUAGGGUUUGUUAUCGCGAUAGAACUAAACUCAAUGACCCUCUAUCUCCAAACCAAAAUGUACUCAAAUAUAUCAAAAUUUUCAACUUUACUAGGCUAUUUUCCUACUAUUAUUCACCGACUCAGCCCCCGUCUCAAUCUUAUUAUAAGCCAAAAACUAUCAUCAACCCUUCUAGACCUAGUCUGAUUAGAAAAAACUAUCCCCAAAUUCACUGCUAACCUUCAUUCAAUAGCCUCUACCAUAUCCUCUAACCAAAAAGGCCUCAUCAAACUAUACUUCUUAUCAUUUCUAAUUUCAACACUCUUAGCAACUAUCUCUAUAUUCUAUUUCCACGUGUAAUUUCAAUCACAAUAAAAAUACUAACGAACAAUGAUCAACCAGCUACAACCAUUAAUCAACUUCCACAGCUGUAUAUAGCCGCCACCCCUAUUGAAUCCUCACGAACUAAUCCCAACUCAUCCCCUUCAAAUACUAUCCAAUUCUCCAAAUCCUUAAACUCAACUACAAUCUCUACCUCAUCAUAUAUAAUCAUAAGUAUGAUAAUUAAAAACUCCACUAAAAAUCCCAACAACAAAACUCCUCAAAUAACCACACUUGACCCUCACGUUUCUGGAUAUUCCUCCGUUGCUAUAGCCGUAGUAUAACCAAAUACCACCAACAUUCCCCCCAAAUAAAUCAAAAAUACUAUCAAACCUAAAAAAGACCCUCCAAAAUAUAACACAACCCCACAUCCAAUUCCCCCACUAAUAAUCAGCCCCAAACCUCCAUAAAUAGGAGAAGGCUUUGAAGAAAAUCCCACAAAGCCUAAAACAAAAAGUAUGCUUAACAAGUACGUAAUAUAUGUCAUUAUUUUUACAUGGAAUCUAACCAUGACCAAUGACAUGAAAAAUCAUCGUUGUUAUUCAACUAUAAAAACACUAAUGACAAACAUCCGCAAAACCCAUCCUCUAUUUAAAAUUAUUAACCACUCCUUUAUUGACCUACCUGCACCCUCUAAUAUUUCAACAUGAUGAAAUUUUGGGUCACUACUAGGGCUCUGCUUAGCUAUCCAAAUCCUCACCGGGUUAUUUCUAGCAAUACACUACACUUCCGAUACCAUAACAGCCUUUUCGUCAGUUACCCAUACAUGCCGAGACGUAAAUUACGGCUGACUUAUCCGCUAUAUACAUGCUAACGGCGCAUCAAUAUUUUUUAUCUGCCUCUUUCUUCAUGUAGGCCGAGGAAUAUACUAUGGCUCAUACACCUACUUUGAAACAUGAAACAUUGGAGUUAUUCUCCUAUUUACAGUAAUAGCUACAGCUUUUAUAGGCUAUGUACUCCCCUGAGGCCAAAUAUCAUUCUGAGGUGCAACCGUAAUUACCAAUCUUUUAUCUGCUGUUCCAUACAUUGGUACAACUUUAGUUGAAUGAAUCUGAGGCGGAUUCUCAGUAGAUAAAGCCACUCUAACACGAUUCUUUGCAUUCCACUUCAUCCUUCCCUUUAUCAUCGCAGCUCUAGUCAUAGUCCAUCUCCUUUUUCUUCAUGAAACCGGAUCAAACAACCCCUCAGGCCUUAUCUCUGACUCAGACAAAAUCCCCUUUCACCCAUACUAUACCAUUAAGGACAUCCUUGGAGUUCUUCUUCUUAUUUUAAUUCUAAUAAUUCUAGUCUUAUUUUCACCUGACCUUCUAGGAGAUCCUGAUAAUUAUACACCUGCAAACCCCUUAAGUACACCACCCCAUAUUAAACCAGAAUGAUACUUCUUAUUUGCCUACGCUAUCCUACGAUCUAUCCCCAACAAACUAGGAGGAGUUUUAGCCCUAGUCUUCUCAAUUCUUAUUUUAAUACUCUUCCCACUACUCCACUUAUCUAAGCAACGUAGCAUAAUAUUCCGACCAUUAAGUCAAUGCAUAUUUUGGGUCCUAGUAGCAGACCUAAUUACACUAACCUGAAUCGGAGGACAACCUGUUGAAUACCCAUAUACUAUCAUUGGCCAACUAGCGUCAAUUCUAUACUUUGCUAUCAUUCUCUUAAUCCUACCAACCAUUAGUCUAAUUGAAAACAAACUUCUUAAAUGAAGA
Molecule: long non-coding RNA, 5911 nt
Filed under: Marmota monax (woodchuck)
Lineage: Eukaryota; Metazoa; Chordata; Mammalia; Rodentia; Sciuridae
Rfam family: tRNA (bases 2175-2243)
Source: RNAcentral